GAAUAGGCCCUCCAAGCCGUUGCCACUUGUUUUGCUAGCAUUCACCAAGAGAUCUGCUUCUAAGAUUUUCAGGUCAUCUAGAUGUUGGUGCCAAAGCCCCUGUUGCCACAUCGGAGUUACAACUCUGGUAAACUGGGUUAACUUUAAGCAAUAGGGAAGUGCAUUCAUUUUGGAACAGGUUAACCCGAAUAAACCCCAUUUGGUUUGUUGCACAUUUGUUCCAAAGCAGAAGCCCAAAAGCCACAGAGUCUGCAACUGACAGUUAACUCUUAGCAUGGCCAUGUUAUUUCCUCAGAAUGCCAUGUCAUGUUGGGGCAGAAAAAAAAGGGAAGUCGCGCCUUUUAUUUCCUACACCCACACUCCCAAAAUGCCCAAGAAAGAAAGGUCCUUUUGGUUAUGUCAUACAGGAAACGCAGGAAACUGACUAAAGAAGCUGGAGGGAGAGAGGCUGAGAGCCAUUCCUGGCCUUUUGUGUGCUAGCCAGCCUGCUGCUUUGCUGCCAGAGCCUUCACUGCAGCAGCUAAAAGAGAGACAAUCGUCUGUCUAGAGAGGUUACAGCACAGCACACAUUUCAACCAGCUUUACAGGCAUCCACAAAGAGAAACAAGGAAUAAAAUGUAUGCAUUGGCAAGGCAAGCUGGCAUACACUGUCCUCCUCAGGGAUGUGACGACUUCUCAGCAAACCCUGUGGGAUUUUGUUCUCAGCAAUCCCUGCGGGAUUUACCGACAUUGUUCCCUCUGAUAUACUCCCACCCAUGCAAUGUAGUGUCCCAUCCUGCACAAGGGAUAACACUGAUUUGUGGUUUAUUCUCCUGCAUAUCUCUGUAAAUAAAAUGGGAGGGACCUAACAGAAGCAGAAGACAUCAAGAAGAGGUGCAAGAAUACACAGAGGAAUUAUAUCAGAAAGAUUU
Molecule: long non-coding RNA, 911 nt
Filed under: Pogona vitticeps (central bearded dragon)
Lineage: Eukaryota; Metazoa; Chordata; Lepidosauria; Squamata; Agamidae
Description: lncRNA (ENSPVIG00000018956.1)
Source: RNAcentral